GCCAGAGUAGCUCAAUGGUAGAGCACUGCUUUCGUAAAGCAGAAGUUGUCGGUUCAAAUCCGAUCUCUGGCUCCA
RNAcentral lists this transfer RNA (75 nucleotides) under bacterium. RNAcentral's name for it is "tRNA-Thr". It matches the Rfam family "tRNA". From Rfam's summary of the family: Transfer RNA (tRNA) molecules are approximately 80 nucleotides in length. Their secondary structure includes four short double-helical elements and three loops (D, anti-codon, and T loops). The record is from RNAcentral. RNAcentral also lists the same sequence under 2 other names.